AGAAACUACGAGAAUUCCUGUUAGAUUUGAGAGUGGGCCUGCUUUUGUGGUGUGCUGGUUCAGGUAGAGUCAUGGUUGAUGUCACAACCGACUUGCUUCAACCUCACAGGGCUUGAUGCUGACAGCGUAGUCCCCCAGGACUUCACCUCUCGGAAAGGACUGAAGUGAUUUCCGGACUAUAGUGCUUCAAGUCGGCAAGGAAGAACCUUCAUUGCGUGGCAUUCAGCGAUAGCGACAAAGCAACUCCCUUCUUUGGACAUGUUCUUGAGCUGUGUGCAGAGGUCUCUUAAAGUGUCUCAUGCACCAGCUGUCUAAUCUGUGUUGGAUGCUGCAGUACAGCUGUAUCUCCAGUGACCCAGCAUAGCCAUGGAUCGACUGCCCAAGGGUACGGUCAUGGGGCAGCACACAAGAUGAGGACUCUAAGGAAGUUUAAAAGAAGAAAAAAAUCUCUAAGGCUAAAUGUGAUAGUGCUGCUUCUGCAGUAUUUACACCCACCUUGCUAUGGUCCCCUUCACACAGCACACAGAAAAAGCAAAACGCUAACUUUGCAGAAACCCAGAAUUGCCAGGAGUAUUGCCAGGAGGAUGGAGUUAAACCCGAGGGCUGGGAGAGUGAAGAGGAAAUGACUUUCGAAGCCCCUCUUUUUAUGCUGUUGCCAGCCCCUAGUUGAAAACAUCAGUAUCAAAUGGCUGAGAAGGAUUUCAAAACUUGAUACCACUUGUAGUAAGCAAGGUCCUUCACACAGGGUAAGCCGAUAUCACAUUCGGUUUUCAGGAAGAAAUCGUGGUGGCUGGCAAGUUGCAGCUCUGUCCAGCUCUCACCUUCCCCUCACCCUCUGAAACGCAGCCAGCGUGGGGAGCUGUUUUGGCACCUACCUCUCCGUCAGCACAGAAGGGGCAGGGAGCGUUGACUGCCAAGUCGGUGGACCUUCAGGAGCUGACAGCCUGAACCCCACAGAUCACCGGCCAUGCGUGCGCAGCGCCUGGGCCUUGGGCUGCCCGCCUUCCAACUCCAUCUCCCGCAGCCCGGGCGCCUUGGCUGGCUGCAGCACCCCCCGUGCCGGCAGCAUCUCCCGCCGUUCCGCACGGCCUCCUCCUGGAAGGGGACUUGCAGCCAAAGGAGGCCGCCAGUGUUACAGUCCCGAUGUGUUUGUCAUUCAGGGGCAGUAACAGGACAGUUGGUGGUACAACAGGGCCCGUCUGCUUCAGCAUGCUCUCCAGAAGACAUAAGGAGCUAGAAUGAAGGCAGUUAUGCGGUGUCCUGACUCGGUCGCCUGUGUGCGUGUGUCCUGAGCCCCAAAGCUGCAAGCAUUUGCAUUCGCUGGAGUGUGAAGUGCCACUUGAAAAACCUGUGAUUCUCUGCAGGCCUCCCGCUCCUGCUUGUCACACCUCGGACCCGACCGGUGGUGCUGCGAGCAGCGCUUGCGCUUUUGCAGACGCGUUAGUGAUGCGCAGAGGCCAGCAGAGCUCAGCUGUCAGGCUGAGGCAGCCAGAUCAGCAUGGUGCAGCCUGCAUCGCCUCGGUGCAGACACUGCUCUUGCCCUGCUGCUCUUCACCUCCAGCUUCAGACUGCAGUCCUGAUGCAGCCCCAUGCCCCCGCUUCCACGACGGGUUCAGUGAGGGCAGGCACCUGAUUGUAAGCACAUGGUGAUUUGGGGGUUAGGCACAAGGCUGAGAACAUCUCAGAUGAGUGAUGGGUGGGCAUGGCAGCCCUAGGAAAUGCUUUGUCAUGUCUCAGAAGGAUAAAGCUUAACCCUCUUGUUUACCAGAGUAGCAAUCUCAAAGGAGCAAGAUUGCUCAACAAGAAGCACACUAGAUUUGCUGCUGGCGAGCAUCAGUUUUAAACUCGAGUCUUACCAGCUUUAGAGCACAGAGCAUGAUUUCUUUUUGUACAGGUCCUUCACUUCUUCCUUCAUCCUCACAGUAACUGCAAACAAAUGAGCAUCAUCCUUUGUGGGCACAAAGCUGGGUUUUACAGGAUGCUAUGUGCUGUGAACUGGGAGUAUAUUAGAGAAGAGUUGGCAUUGAUUUUGCGGCUGGAGGCUUUGCUUUCUUUAUCUGGGCGUGUGUCAGAGAUGAUUCUUUAACAUGAAGAAAAUAGAGAAUAAUUAAAUAUAACUCUGUCUUCUUCCCCCCCACCCUUUUAAUCUACCUAUUUUUAUACUGUCGUUAUGCACAUCUUGGAAUGCAUGUGCCUUGUUGGUAGCGCAGUGUAAAAGCAAGCUUGCAAAUGCUGUGUUCCACUUCAGCAUCCAACCAAUAGUGAGAACCACAAUCUCUGAAACAGCAUAUGAUUGUGAACCUGCCAAGAGAAGAGGAGACGCGCCUUCCUCGCUGUUUCCCUGA
Oxyura jamaicensis (ruddy duck) is the source of this 2345-nucleotide long non-coding RNA. RefSeq lists it as uncharacterized. Lineage: Eukaryota; Metazoa; Chordata; Aves; Anseriformes; Anatidae. The transcript has 5 exons. The record is from RefSeq and is a predicted model, not a curated record.